CGGCAACAUGAGCGCUUGCGCUUGAUGACGAGUGGCGCACGGGUGCGUAACGCGUAUGCAACCUACCCUUUACUGGGGGAUAGCCCGGAGAAAUUCGGAUUAAUACCCCAUGGUAUUAUUUGAUGGCAUCUGAAGAUAAUUAAAGAUUUAUUGGUAAAGGAUGGGCAUGCGUGACAUUAGUUAGUUGGUGAGGUAACGGCUCACCAAGACGAUGAUGUCUAGGGGUUCUGAGAGGAAGGUCCCCCACACUGGUACUGAGACACGGACCAGACUCCUACGGGAGGCAGCAGUAGGGAAUAUUGGUCAAUGGACGGAAGUCUGAACCAGCCAUGCCGCGUGCAGGAAGACAGCUUUCUGAGUUGUAAACUGCUUUUAUAUAGGAACAAAGAGGCCCUGCGGGGCAAGUUGCGUGUACUAUAUGAAUAAGCACCGGCUAACUCCGUGCCAGCAGCCGCGGUAAUACGGAGGGUGCAAGCGUUGUCCGGAUUUAUUGGGUUUAAAGGGUGCGUAGGUGGCUAAUUAAGUCAGUGGUGAAAGCCUGCAGCUCAACUGUAGAGGUGCCAUUGAUACUGAUUAGCUUGAGUAUGGACGAGGUAGGCGGAAUUUGUGGUGUAGCGGUGAAAUGCAUAGAUACCACAAAGAACACCGAUAGCGAAGGCAGCUUACUGGACCAUAACUGACACUGAGGCACGAAAGCGUGGGGAGCGAACAGGAUUAGAUACCCUGGUAGUCCACGCCGUAAACGAUGCUCACUCGAUGUAUGCGAUAUACUGUAUGCGUCCAAGCGAAAGCGUUAAGUGA
This 801-nucleotide ribosomal RNA is filed under the name uncultured bacterium. RNAcentral's name for it is "bacterial SSU rRNA". It matches the Rfam family "Bacterial small subunit ribosomal RNA", at positions 67 to 867 of the family's 1533-position model. The record is from RNAcentral.